GGGCACAUGGUGUAGUUGGUUAUCACAUCCGCUUAGCACGAAUUGCGUGGUAUGCGGGGGGUGCUGGGUUCAAUUCCCAGUGUGUCCA
This 88-nucleotide transfer RNA is filed under the name Pilatotrama ljubarskyi. Its description in RNAcentral is "tRNA-Ala". It matches the Rfam family "tRNA". From Rfam's summary of the family: Transfer RNA (tRNA) molecules are approximately 80 nucleotides in length. Their secondary structure includes four short double-helical elements and three loops (D, anti-codon, and T loops). Further hydrogen bonds mediate the characteristic L-shaped molecular structure. tRNAs have two regions of fundamental functional importance: the anti-codon, which is responsible for specific mRNA codon recognition, and the 3' end, to which the tRNAs corresponding amino acid is attached (by aminoacyl-tRNA synthetases). tRNAs cope with the degeneracy of the genetic code in two manners: having more than one tRNA (with a specific anti-codon) for a particular amino acid; and 'wobble' base-pairing, i.e. permitting non-standard base-pairing at the 3rd anti-codon position. The record is from RNAcentral. Lineage: Eukaryota; Fungi; Basidiomycota; Agaricomycetes; Polyporales; Polyporaceae.